UGGAUUCACCUGAGAGCGGUGCGCAUGCCCUGGAAAGCAUUAUGGUUAGACCCAUGUGAGACAGUUCCCGAGAACCUCUUCCCUGGCCCGCUCAUGCCCACCCACCCCUGAGCCCCGGAUCACGCAGUGGGUGUCUCUCGCGAGAGCUCAUCGGCGCCCGCUGUGCAUUGGGAGGCUCACGUCCCCACCCUCGGGCUUUCCAAGGUGCCGCGCCAGGGGUUGCUGAGGUAGAGGUGGCUCCCCUGCUCCUCCUUCCACCUCUCCGAUUCCACCUCCUCCUCGCACCCCGCUGGGAACUCCUCCAGGGGCUGAGAUUGGAUUCACCGAGCCUGGCGCGCGGCGAUGGGAUAUGAACCAGUCACUGCCUUUGUGCUUUCCUCCUCUCUCCGCUGCCCCGGUCAACCAGCGGAGAGUGGGGAACUGCGGGCAGGUCGGCGGAGUUAGAUGGCAGCAAAGGUGGGCCGGCUUGGUGUGAUAAAGUUCCAACUGGGUCCUUCCGCGAGCCCUGGGUCCAUAAGAUGUCAUCGGCGAGCGCUGGACUUGACCGUCAACUUGGGAUUGUUAAGGUAAAUGGUGUCUCCUUCUGUCGCCAAGGCGGUGGCAUGGUCUCGGCUGGCUGCAAUCUCCACCUCCUUGCUUCCAGCGAUUCUCCUGCCUCAGCCCCCCGAGUAGCAGAAAUUACAGGAGUUUCAUGGCAGGGCGCUUGGCUGGCUUGUUUAAAUUCAUUCUGAAUAAGAACUGAGGAUGUCAGCUUCUGGCCUCAUGGACUCUGGACUGAAGAGUCCCCUUGUCUAUCUAUCAUGAGACUGUACACGUAAGAAGCAAAAAACUAGUAACAUUUAAAAUAAAUAAUUUUGUUGUACAGAAAUACACGGAUGCACCUAAAACACAGAAAUGAU
Molecule: long non-coding RNA, 899 nt
Filed under: Homo sapiens (human)
Lineage: Eukaryota; Metazoa; Chordata; Mammalia; Primates; Hominidae
Description: HSALNT0409395
Source: RNAcentral